This 253-nucleotide ribosomal RNA is filed under the name uncultured bacterium. Its description in RNAcentral is "partial 16S ribosomal RNA". It matches the Rfam family "Bacterial small subunit ribosomal RNA", at positions 524 to 776 of the family's 1533-position model. The record is from RNAcentral.
UACGUAGGGUCCGAGCGUUGUCCGGAAUUAUUGGGCGUAAAGGGCUCGUAGGCGGUCUGUUGCGUCGGGAGUGAAAACUUACAGCUUAACUGUGAGCGUGCUUUCGAUACGGGCAGACUUGAGGCAUUCAGGGGAGAACGGAAUUCCUGGUGUAGCGGUGAAAUGCGCAGAUAUCAGGAGGAACACCGGUGGCGAAAGCGGCUCACUGGACCACAACUGACGCUGAUGCACGAAAGCUAGGGGAGCAAACAGG